This 304-nucleotide ribosomal RNA is filed under the name uncultured bacterium. RNAcentral's name for it is "partial 16S ribosomal RNA". It matches the Rfam family "Bacterial small subunit ribosomal RNA", at positions 506 to 809 of the family's 1533-position model. The record is from RNAcentral.
CAGCAGCAGCCACGGGAAAACGGAGGGUGCAAGCGUUAUCCGGAUUUAUUGGGUUUAAAGGGUCCGUAGGCGGAUCUGUAAGUCAGUGGUGAAAUCUCACAGCUUAACUGUGAAACUGCCAUUGAUACUGCAGGUCUUGAGUAAAUUUGAAGUGGCUGGAAUAAGUAGUGUAGCGGUGAAAUGCAUAGAUAUUACUUAGAACACCAAUUGCGAAGGCAGGUCACUAAGAUUUAACUGACGCUGAUGGACGAAAGCGUGGGGAGCGAACAGGAUUAGAUACCCCGGUAGUCCCUGUCUCUUAUAA